CCUACGGGUGGCUGCAGUGGGGAAUAUUGCACAAUGGGCGCAAGCCUGAUGCAGCCAUGCCGCGUGUGUGAAGAAGGCCUUCGGGUUGUAAAGCACUUUCAGCGGGGAGGAAGGCGGUGAGGUUAAUAACCUCAUCGAUUGACGUUACCCGCAGAAGAAGCACCGGCUAACUCCGUGCCAGCAGCCGCGGUAAUACGGAGGGUGCAAGCGUUAAUCGGAAUUACUGGGCGUAAAGCGCACGCAGGCGGUCUGUCAAGUCGGAUGUGAAAUCCCCGGGCUCAACCUGGGAACUGCAUUCGAAACGGGCAGGCUAGAGUCUUGUAGAGGGGGGUAGAAUUCCAGGUGUAGCGGUGAAAUGCGUAGAGAUCUGGAGGAAUACCGGUGGCGAAGGCGGCCCCCUGGACAAAGACUGACGCUCAGGUGCGAAAGCGUGGGGAGCAAACAGGAUUAAUACCCCUGUAGUC
This 464-nucleotide ribosomal RNA is filed under the name uncultured Klebsiella sp. RNAcentral describes it as "bacterial SSU rRNA". It matches the Rfam family "Bacterial small subunit ribosomal RNA", at positions 338 to 795 of the family's 1533-position model. The record is from RNAcentral. Lineage: Bacteria; Pseudomonadati; Pseudomonadota; Gammaproteobacteria; Enterobacterales; Enterobacteriaceae.